Molecule: non-coding RNA, 72 nt
Organism: Bos taurus (domestic cattle)
Lineage: Eukaryota; Metazoa; Chordata; Mammalia; Artiodactyla; Bovidae
Source: Rfam
UCCCUGGUGGCUCAGACGGUAAAGUGUCUGCCUGCAAUGCGGGAGACCCAGGUUCGAUUCCUGGGUCGGGAA